Small nuclear RNA from Macaca fascicularis (crab-eating macaque), 107 nucleotides. NCBI's taxonomy places the organism in Eukaryota, Metazoa, Chordata, Mammalia, Primates, Cercopithecidae. The record is from Ensembl.
GUGCGCACUUCGGCAGCACAUAUACUAAAAUUGGAACGACACAGAGAAGAUUAGCAUGGCCCCUGCACAAGGAUGACACGCAAAUUCAUGAAGCAUUCCAUAUUAAA